Anser cygnoides (Swan goose) is the source of this 748-nucleotide long non-coding RNA. The record is from Ensembl. Lineage: Eukaryota; Metazoa; Chordata; Aves; Anseriformes; Anatidae.
CCUCCUGGUUCAUUAAACCUGAUCCCAUACUUUUGUAUACCAUCUGUAUCUUAAUAUUAAAUUUGAUUGGUUUGUAGAAAAAAAUUAACUCAUUUUUUUGUUCUCCACUAAAGUGAUGUUAUGGAAGAAGCAGUUGGAUAAAGAACAUAAGAUGCAGAAGUUCUUUUGCCCAUUAGAAGUCUUCUAGUCAGUGGAUGAAUCAGUUAAAAGAACAUCCACAGGAGGCCUUAUUUGACAUAGCUGCUGAUUACAGCAGUAGAAAAUAAAACCUGAGUGAGCAUGGAGUGUUUAGCUGCUCUAUCAGUCCAAGAUGAGAAGCCUAACCAUAUAGAGAAGGUAGAACUGGAAGGUGAAAACCAGACACACUGCCUAGGGAGACUGCCCAAAGACCAUCACUUUCCUUGGUAAAUGAUCUCAAGCAAUCUGAUGGCACUAGGAUGUGAAGUGCCAGCACAGGACCACUGUAUCUCUUGUCUCCCAGGGUUAAUGGGUUCAUAAGCACCUGGUACAUGAAUGAAUUUGAUCCAUAAAAAUCAUACCUUUAUCAAUGUCAAUGCUUUAGUUACUUUUUCUUGAUAGUCAUGUGAACUGGGAGGACAGAAUUUUGCUCUCUUGUGAAGCAUAGGUCAUCUUGGCCUGUGGGCAACAAUAUGCAACAAUUGCAUCUGAAUGCAGGAAACUAAGCAAAAACUAAUUCCUCUGCCUUAGCACAUGUUUAAAUAUAAAUGCUUUCCUAAAUAAGUAUAUU